Long non-coding RNA from Oncorhynchus nerka (sockeye salmon), 943 nucleotides. RefSeq lists it as uncharacterized. NCBI's taxonomy places the organism in Eukaryota, Metazoa, Chordata, Actinopteri, Salmoniformes, Salmonidae. The transcript has 2 exons. The record is from RefSeq and is a predicted model, not a curated record.
UCUGAUGGCAUGUGUAGAUACUAAAAGCCGUAAAGCUAUAGAAAUAAAUAGUCGCAAACUCGUAUAACUCCCAGCGACUCUAUUUGGUUGUAUAGCUUCCAGUUAAUUUGCCGAUAGUCAGCACCUCUACACUAAUGUUCCCUGGGGAUGCUCCGGCUUGUUAUUAGAUACUAGAAGCCAACAACACUGGGGGUGAUGUAAAAUACAAUAUGGCAAAUUCAUUUUGCUUACUGUUUUCCGGGAAGGCAUUUGUCAUAGACGCUCACCCACACUCGACCAUUAAAAAGUUGUGGUUCCAAAUGUUUCCUCUCACAAGAUGUUAAGGAUUUAUUGUUGUAUUCGUCUACACAUGACAGACACUUUUUGGUUAACAAAGUGUCAUUACAAGCUGCACAUGUACCUGAGUGUGUUACGCAUAUGGCUCUAAACUGGUUCCAGAUUGCCACAAGGCGUCAGGUAGCUUGACUUGUAACUGUCAAAGUUGAACCACCAGGCGUCAGGUCCGGUAGCUUGACUUGUAACUGUCAAAGUUGAACCAAGAUACUUGUUCAUUUGUUCUCUAUAUGUUCUAGGUGCCGCCAUUUUAGAGAAGAGUCUCCCAAGGAACCUCUGGACAAAGGGUAAGUCAGAGCUUUUCUUCCCUGCCUUGGUUCCUUCAGUCUCCUCUUUCUGCUUUGGUGCCCAUGUAAGACUGGAGACCAGGGAAGAUGUUCAACGAAUGAGCCCCUGUGGAUAUUUCUCAAAUAGAAAAUGUUAAAACAGAAAGAAAAAAAAUAAUGUUAUGUAACACAUUUGUCUACAUCCUUCACUUUAUUCAAUGUAAUCUUGUACACUACUGUUUCCUUAUGAUAUAACAUCAUGCAUGCUCUGUCCUUAAUUGAGAACAUAACGUGUGUUCAUUUUUCAUUUGGCGUAUUAAUAUAAUAAACAUAGGCACAGACUA